UAAUAUUUUUAAAGUAAUUUAAAAUAAUUUUUUUAUUAAAAAUUAAUAAUAUUUCUUUUUAGGAUAUAGAAAAUAAAAUUAUACAUAAUUUAAACAAAAAUUAAUAUCUAAAUUAAUUUGAUUUAUUUUUAAUUUAUAAUUUUAUGAUAUAAAAUAAAAAAUAUUAAAAUUAAAAAUAGAGAUUAAAUGUUAAUCAAAAAUAAUGAUAUAUAUAUAAAAUUGAAAUAAAGAAAAUAAAAUUAAUUUAUUAUUAUUUUAAGGGUCAGCUUUAAAAUAUUAUUUAAAUCAUAUUUUUAUAUAAUAAUUUAUUAAAUUUUAAAAAUUAUAUAUUUUUUUAAAUUUUAUUAAUUAGUAUUUUAUUAGUAAUUAAUAAUAAUAAAUAUUAUUAUUUUUUAUAUAAAAAUUAAAAUAUUUUUUAAAAAAAAAAUUAAUCUACUAAAAAAUAUAAUUAUUGUUUACUAAAUGCUAAGUAUAUAGAUUUUUAUUAUAUAUUAUAAAAUUUAAAUUAUUAUAUUUAUUAAAAAUACUUUAAAUGAGUAAAAUUGAAUUAUAUUUUUUUUAAUUUUUAAAAAUUAAAUUUUUAUUUGUUUAAAAUAUAAAUAAAAUAAGUAAUAGAACGAAAAGACCCUAGGUAAUUUAGGUUAAUAUAUAGAAAUAAUUAUAUAAAAUCUUUGUUGGGGCAACAGCGAUUUAAAAGUAAACAAUAGUAAAAUAUAAUAAAUUUUUUAUUUAAUAAAUUAUAUAAUAUAAUUAACCCUAGGGAUAACAGCGCAAUAUAUAAUGAAAGCCCUUAUUAAAUUAUAUAUUUACGACCUCGAUGUCGGCUUAAUAAAGCUUUUUAAAGUAGAAUUUAAAAAUAGUUUAACUGUUCUUUAAUUAAAGUAUUACAUGAGCUGGGUUUAGAACGGAGCGAUUUAGUUCGGUUUUUUUUCUUUAUAUAUUAUAUUAAUAGUACGAAAGGAAUUUAUAUAUUUUAAUUUUUUU
RNAcentral lists this ribosomal RNA (984 nucleotides) under Didemnum vexillum. RNAcentral describes it as "large subunit ribosomal RNA". The record is from RNAcentral. Lineage: Eukaryota; Metazoa; Chordata; Ascidiacea; Aplousobranchia; Didemnidae.